RNAcentral lists this ribosomal RNA (425 nucleotides) under uncultured bacterium. Its description in RNAcentral is "partial 16S ribosomal RNA". It matches the Rfam family "Bacterial small subunit ribosomal RNA", at positions 354 to 796 of the family's 1533-position model. The record is from RNAcentral.
GUGGGGAAUCUUGCGCAAUGGGCGAAAGCCUGACGCAGCCAUGCCGCGUGAAUGAUGAAGGUCUUAGGAUUGUAAAAUUCUUUCACCGGGGACGAUAAUGACGGUACCCGGAGAAGAAGCUCCGGCUAACUUCGUGCCAGCAGCCGCGGUAAUACGAAGGGGGCUAGCGUUGCUCGGAAUUACUGGGCGUAAAGGGCGCGUAGGCGGACAGCUUAGUCAGAGGUGAAAGCCCAGGGCUCAACCUUGGAAUUGCCUUUGAUACUGGCUGUCUUGAGUUUGGGAGAGGUGAGUGGAACUCCGAGUGUAGAGGUGAAAUUCGUAGAUAUUCGGAGGAACACCAGUGGCGAAGGCGGCUUACUGGUCCAUUACUGACGCUGAGGUGCGAAAGCGUGGGGAGCAAACAGGAUUAGAAACCCUGGUAGUCC